CCUUUUCAACCUUCUGCUCUGCUUGAUUAUCGUUGCUCUCUUCCUGCUGUGUGCUUGGACUCUGUCCCUCCCUCGAAGAUUUUUCUUCAGGUUGGGUGCUUAAAAUCUGUCCGUCAUUCAAAGAUUUGCUGCUGUUUGCUUCCUCGACAGCAUUGGGCUUCCCCUGUUGAAUUAGAAUUUUCCCCUCAACAUUGUUAGUUCAGUGCACAAGUCGAAGUCAUUUUCUUAAGUACUUUACAUACCAUAAAAGCAUAAAGAAAUAACAGAAGAAACAGUGUCUUCUACAGAUAUCACAUUACAUCAGCGAUAAUGGAGUUCUAUAGAUGCUAUACCAUUCGUCCAGAAUACUGUGUCCACCAAAAUGCAUGUAACAAUGACAGAAUGGUUUGUGCUCGAGCAAUGAAGAGAAGAACGCAUAUGACAUGCACAAGUUCAAAAACAUCAUAAUUGUACGGAAAUUGCAGGAAGCAAAAUUACAAACCACCAAGAAACGAAAAAAAAGCACAAAGAUUAGUCAUUUGUACCACCAAAACCUGGAUUAAGGUGUAUCAGACAAGAAAGGAAUUGCAUGAUGCAUAACGUCACUAUGAAAAUAUGUAUUCAUCGAGAGAGCCAUUGCGCAUCUAGAUAAUAUAAGUAUCAUAAAUCAGGUUACCAAUUAGUAAUUUUACCAGUUGACUGCACAGACUAAUAUCAGCAACAUUGUUGCUUCCCAAACUAUUAUUGUCAAUGAAUGUACGAGACAAACAAUAAAUGGACUCAGUUUUACAUUGGUUCUGUGAGGGGCGGAAGCAUAGAGAAGGAAAAGAAAGAUAUAUGAACAAUAGAAAAGGGGGAAAGAAUAUUUCUAUAUUGCUUCCAGAAGGAACUCCAGUGAUGAUUUAGGCAUUACCUAGCAAACGAGGGAAACCACCAAGUCAAAAUUAUGAAUCAUUUGCCUUUUCAACCUUCUGCUCUGCUUGAUUAUCGUUGCUCUCUUCCAGCUGUGUGCUUGAACUCUGUCCCUCCCUCGAAGAUUUUUCUUCAGGUUGGGUGCUUAAAAUCUGUCCCUCGUUCAAAGCUUUACUGCUGUUUGCUUCCUCGACAGCGUUGGGCUUCCCCUGUUGAAUUAGAAUUCUCCCCUCAACAUUGUUAGUACAGUGCAAGUUGUUUUCUUAAGUACUUCACAUACCAUAAAAGCAUAAAGAAAUAACAGAAGAAACAGUGUCUUCUACAGAUAUCACAUUACAUCAGCGAUAAUGGAGUUCUAUAGAUGCUAUACCAUUCGUCCAGAAUACUGUGUCCACCAAAAUGAAUGUAACAAUGACAGAAUGGUUUGUGCUUGAGCAAUGCAGAGAAGAACGCAAAUGACAUGCACAAGUUCGAAAACAUCAUAAUUGUACGGAAAUUGCAGGAAGCAAAAUUACAAACCACCAAGAAACGAAAAAAAAGCACGAAGAUUAGUCAUUUGUACCACCGAAACCUGGAUUAAGGUGUAUCAGACAAGAAAGGAAUUGCAUGAUGCAUAACGUCACUAUGAAAAUAUGUAUUCAUCGAGAGAGCCAUUGUGCAUCUAGAUAAUAUAAGUAUCAUAAAUCAGGUUACCAAUUAGUAAUUUUACCAGUUGACUGCACAGACUAAUAUCAGCAACAAAAUGGUAAAUCGACAGACGAAAAACAAAAUAGAGUGAGUCACUUGAUACUCACAGGAAUACCAAAACUGUGGAACAUAAUGAGUCUUAACAUGAAUAGGGGAGUUUCUUGACUG
This 1746-nucleotide long non-coding RNA is filed under the name Olea europaea (common olive). Its description in RNAcentral is "long non-coding RNA (OEUR_LNC002087)". Lineage: Eukaryota; Viridiplantae; Streptophyta; Magnoliopsida; Lamiales; Oleaceae. The record is from RNAcentral.